This 305-nucleotide ribosomal RNA is filed under the name uncultured bacterium. RNAcentral describes it as "bacterial SSU rRNA". It matches the Rfam family "Bacterial small subunit ribosomal RNA", at positions 333 to 630 of the family's 1533-position model. The record is from RNAcentral.
UGCAUCCUACGGGGCGCAGCAGUAGGGAAUCCUCCACAAUGGGCGAAAGCCUGAUGGAGCAACGCCGCGUGGGUGAAGAAGGUCUUCGGAUCGUAAAACCCUGUUGUUAGAGAAGAAAGUGCGUGAGAGUAACUGUUCACGCUUCGACGGUAUCUAACCCGAAAGCCACGGCUAACUACGUGCCAGCAGCCGCGGUAAUACGUAGGUGGCAAGCGUUAUCCGGAUUUAUUGGGCGUAAAGGGAACGCAGGCGGUCUUUUAAGUCUGAUGUGAAAGCCUUCGGCUUAACCGGAGUAGUGCAUUGGG